RNAcentral lists this ribosomal RNA (561 nucleotides) under Fusarium fujikuroi. RNAcentral describes it as "eukaryotic LSU rRNA". The stretch from base 180 to 333 matches the Rfam family "5.8S ribosomal RNA". The record is from RNAcentral. Lineage: Eukaryota; Fungi; Ascomycota; Sordariomycetes; Hypocreales; Nectriaceae.
UCCGUAGGGUGAACCUGCGGAGGGAUCAUUACCGAGUUUACAACUCCCAAACCCCUGUGAACAUACCAAUUGUUGCCUCGGCGGAUCAGCCCGCUCCCGGUAAAACGGGACGGCCCGCCAGAGGACCCCUAAACUCUGUUUCUAUAUGUAACUUCUGAGUAAAACCAUAAAUAAAUCAAAACUUUCAACAACGGAUCUCUUGGUUCUGGCAUCGAUGAAGAACGCAGCAAAAUGCGAUAAGUAAUGUGAAUUGCAGAAUUCAGUGAAUCAUCGAAUCUUUGAACGCACAUUGCGCCCGCCAGUAUUCUGGCGGGCAUGCCUGUUCGAGCGUCAUUUCAACCCUCAAGCCCCCGGGUUUGGUGUUGGGGAUCGGCGAGCCCUUGCGGCAAGCCGGCCCCGAAAUCUAGUGGCGGUCUCGCUGCAGCUUCCAUUGCGUAGUAGUAAAACCCUCGCAACUGGUACGCGGCGCGGCCAAGCCGUUAAACCCCCAACUUCUGAAUGUUGACCUCGGAUCAGGUAGGAAUACCCGCUGAACUUAAGCAUAUCAAAGCCCCGGAGGAA